GUCUUAAUGAUUAUAAUUUUAAGUCGAUCUGCCCAAUGAUGUAAAAUUUAAUGGCUGCAGUAUAAUUAACUGUACAAAGGUAGCAUAAUCAAUUGUUUUUUAAUUGAGAACUAGAAUGAAAGAAUUAAUGAGAUAUAUACUGUCUCAUAUAUAUUAUAUUAAAUUAAAUUUUUAGUAAAAAUGCUAAAAUAUAUUUAUGGGACGAUAAGACCCUAUAGAAUUUUAUAUUAAAUUUUAGAUUAUAUAAUUUUAAUUUUUAAUAUUUGAUUGGGAGGAUUGAUAAAUUUAAUUAACUUUAUUUAAAAAUUAAACUUUAAUUAGAGAAUUAUUUUUGAUUUUGUAUUAUGGAUUAAAAGAAAAAAUUACCUUAGGGAUAACAGCGUAAUAUCUUUUUUAAGAUCAUAUUGAUAAAGAUGGUUGCGACCUCGAUGUUGAAUUAAGAUAAAUUUUAAAUGCAGAAGUUUAAUAAUUAAGUCUGUUCGACUUUUAAAAUCUUACAUGAUUUGAGUUCAAAUCGACGUGAGU
Molecule: ribosomal RNA, 525 nt
Filed under: Bombus rubicundus
Lineage: Eukaryota; Metazoa; Arthropoda; Insecta; Hymenoptera; Apidae
Description: partial 16S ribosomal RNA
Rfam family: Bacterial large subunit ribosomal RNA (bases 373-525)
Source: RNAcentral